Suncus etruscus (white-toothed pygmy shrew) is the source of this 163-nucleotide small nuclear RNA. RefSeq annotates it as U1 spliceosomal RNA. The record is from RefSeq and is a predicted model, not a curated record. Lineage: Eukaryota; Metazoa; Chordata; Mammalia; Eulipotyphla; Soricidae. The transcript has a single exon.
AUACUUACCUGGCAGAUUUAAUUCCAUGAUCACGAAGGUGGUUUCCCCAGGGUGAGGCUCGCCCAUUGCACUGUAGGUGUGUUGACUUCUGCGGUUACCCCAAAUGUGGGAAACUCGACAGUGUAAUUUAUGGUAGUGGGGAGCUGUGUGUGCGUUAUCCCCU